CUACGGGUCGCUCCAGUGAGGAAUAUUGCACAAUGGGGGAAACCCUGAUGCAGCAACGCCGCGUGGAGGAUGACGCAUUUCGGUGUGUAAACUCCUUUUAUCAGAGAAGAUAAUGACGGUAUCUGAUGAAUAAGCUCCGGCUAACUCCGUGCCAGCAGCCGCGGUAAUACAGGAGGGAGCAAGCGUUACUCGGAAUCACUGGGCGUAAAGGACGCGUAGGCCGGGUGGUCAGUCAGGUGUGAAAUCCAACGGCUUAGCCGUUGAACUGCACUUGAAACUACCAACCUAGAGUAUGGAAGGGGCAGAUGGAAUUAGUGGUGUAGGGGUAAAAUCCGUAGAUAUCACUAGGAAUACCGAAAGCGAAAGCGAUCUGCUGGGACAUUACUGACGCUGAGGCGUGAAAGCGUGGGGAGCAAACAGGAUUAGAUACCCCAGUAGUC
RNAcentral lists this ribosomal RNA (440 nucleotides) under uncultured bacterium. Its description in RNAcentral is "partial 16S ribosomal RNA". It matches the Rfam family "Bacterial small subunit ribosomal RNA", at positions 339 to 795 of the family's 1533-position model. The record is from RNAcentral.